AGUGAACGCUGGCGGUAGGCCUAACACAUGCGAGUCGAACGGCAGCACAGUAAGAGCUUGCUCUUACGGGUGGCGAGUGGCGGACGGGUGAGGAAUACAUCGGAAUCUACUUUUUCGUGGGGGAUAACGUAGGGAAACUUACGCUAAUACCGCAUACGACCUACGGGUGAAAGCAAGGGAUCUUCGGACCUUGCGCGAUUGAAUGAGCCGAUGUCGGAUUAGCUAGUUGGCGGGGUAAAGGCCCACCAAGGCGACGAUCCGUAGCUGGUCUGAGAGGAUGAUCAGCCACACUGGAACUGAGACACGGUCCAGACUCCUACGGGAGGCAGCAGUGGGGAAUAUUGGACAAUGGGCGCAAGCCUGAUCCAGCCAUACCGCGUGGGUGAAGAAGGCCUUCGGGUUGUAAAGCCCUUUUGUUGGGAAAGAAAAGCAGCAGGUUAAUACCCCGCUGUUCUGACGGUACCCAAAGAAUAAGCACCGGCUAACUUCGUG
RNAcentral lists this ribosomal RNA (492 nucleotides) under uncultured bacterium. Its description in RNAcentral is "partial 16S ribosomal RNA". It matches the Rfam family "Bacterial small subunit ribosomal RNA", at positions 29 to 507 of the family's 1533-position model. The record is from RNAcentral.